ACUCAAAGGAAUAGACGGGGGCCCGCACAAGCGGUGGAGCAUGUGGUUCAAUUCGACGCAACGCGAAGAACCUUACCUGGGCUCGAACGGCCGGUCAACGACGGUGGAAACACCGUUACUCCGCAAGGGGGUCCGGUCGAGGUGCUGCAUGGCUGUCGUCAGCUCGUGUCGUGAGAUGUUGGGUUAAGUCCCGCAACGAGCGCAACCCUUGUCCUGUGUUGCCAUACCUUAAAAAGUGGAACUCGCAGGAGACCGCCAGCGACAAGCUGGAGGAAGGUGGGGACGACGUCAAGUCAUCAUGGCCUUUAUGUCCAGGGCUACACACGUGCUACAAUGGGCGGUACAAUGGGUCGCCAACCCGCGAGGGGGAGCCAAUCCCAAAAAGCCGUCCUCAGUUCGGAUUGCAGGCUGCAACUCGCCUGCAUGAAGCUGGAAUCGCUAGUAAUGCUAUAUCAGAACGAUAGCGUGAAUACGUUCCCGGGCCUUGUACACACCGCCCGU
Molecule: ribosomal RNA, 501 nt
Filed under: uncultured bacterium
Lineage: Bacteria
Description: partial 16S ribosomal RNA
Rfam family: Bacterial small subunit ribosomal RNA
Source: RNAcentral